UGAGGGUGAUUCCCAAACUUUGGACAGCUGGGAUUUAACAAGGUGAGAGAGAUUCUAGAAUCCCAUUUUCAGUUGCCAGAGGGAUAGGAACACGUAUUUGUUGUUUCCUUAUAAUUUGUUCUUAAUUUGUUAUUCCACUCUUCUGUUUUUAGACCUCUGCCAAGCUGGUGAACCAGGCAGCCCUUGCCCAUUGCAUUGGCAUCAUGGGGAAUCUGUGUGCAGAUGUAGUCAUCCGAAUGCAGAUGGCUGAGUGCAAAGAGUGCUGGCAAGCAUGCUUAAAGCUUGUGGAUGAAUGUUUUGAUGUCAGCACACCCAAAUACCAGGAGUGUUUGUUUGCAGUGCUGGGCCUAAUGAUGAAUUUACUGCUUGAAUCAAAUGUGAUCAUACAGUACUUUGCUGUGGACAUAAGUGGCAGGUGCAUGUCUCUUCUCAGCGAUAAGGAUGGAAGGAUUGUGACAGUAAGUGGGAUAUCUAUGGACUAACAAAAGAUUGUAUUAGGUUACCUGACCUGAACACUUCAGUGCAAACUGCUGCCCUGUGCAAGUCUGUACAUUAGGCUUUGAAGCCUAAAACUUUCAUAAUUAUUAGUAGUAAAGAAACAAUAUGCCACUUAUAUUAUUCAGGUUUUUAUAUUGUUUGAUGCAAGAGGUUCUCAAUGGUCUCUUGAAAUCUACUUAAUAGAAGCUCUUACAAAUCAUUUCAUCCUUGGGAUGUUUUUCAAUAUAAAACUCUUUAAAAAAAAAAAAAAAGCAAGAACAAUUUGGGUGUUUAGCAGCUGUUUCUUUUUACAAUUCUUGUAUGUGAAUCAUACCUAGGAGAUUGUACUUCUAUUAAUGGGUAGGAGCAGAUGUGGACUUGGUGUCUGUUCACCUCUCUGAACUCACAUGAAUUGUUCUCAUCUGUUUUACUUGACUCAAUACCAGCAAAGCUAGGCUGGUUUCUGCUGGGACUUUGUUUCCAUAAAUAAACGUACAGUGAGUUGUCCUGAUCUCAGUUUGGUCUCAUCUCUCUCUACA
This 1016-nucleotide long non-coding RNA is filed under the name Buteo japonicus. RNAcentral's name for it is "lncRNA (ENSBJAG00000004091.1)". Lineage: Eukaryota; Metazoa; Chordata; Aves; Accipitriformes; Accipitridae. The record is from RNAcentral.